AUCAAGACAUGUAAUGUCAAAACACCUGGAAGCCACACAUCGUUUCAGCAUGGAACGCAUGCGAGUCUCACGAGACACAGGUGGACGCAAUUAGUUCAUUAACAGAACAUAUUUGUACGGAGAAUGCAGAAGAUUGAGCAGAGAAAGUCCCUGAGAAAGUCCGUAGGAUGAAACGUGUUGAAUAGAGAAUUCACGAACUUGGGUCUUUUCAUUCUGUUUUAUUGUUUUUAUUUUUAUGUUUGGUUUUUAUUUUUAUGGG
This is a non-coding RNA of Pelobates cultripes (western spadefoot toad), 259 nucleotides long. NCBI's taxonomy places the organism in Eukaryota, Metazoa, Chordata, Amphibia, Anura, Pelobatidae. The record is from the annotation of a GenBank genome assembly.